CCACCCAGGUGGCCGUCAAGGUCGCCAUGAGGCGCCUAUGACAGAACGUAGGGCCGCGGGGUGAGCGUUCGUGAGGACGCGCGCAGGCUGCGCCCGAGUGGGGAAUAAAGACUUCCGUGUCCCUGUCCUCUGGUGUCGCCGCUGAGAGGCGACCGCCGUGCUGAAGCCACGGAAAACACCGGGACCCUGACGAGGGCGGGCGGGGAGGGAAGAAGUGCUUCUUCCCUCCUCUCCGGUUCCCUCACCGCGGGCGGCCUUGUACACCCUGAGUUCAGUGGGCUGUGCGUCAGGAUUGAGGCUUUCUUGGAUUUUGGCUGUCCACGUCACUCAGAAAACAGGCAGGGGCCUCUUUGUGAACAUGAGAUCAGCCUACUGUGGGGAGCUCCAGGCCAGCCAGAACUACAAACAAGACCUAGAGGACAUGUAACCAUAAAGAGACUCAACACUCAGGAGGCAGAGGCAGGCAGACCUCUGUGAGUCUGAGUCCAGCCUGGUCUACAAAGCAAGUACCCUGACAGCCAGAACUACAAAGAGAAACCUUGUCUGGAAGAAGAGGAGGGGCAGAGCUGUCCUUAACAAUCCUGUCCUGGGAUGACAAAUCAAGGACAACCUGUGACACCUAGUGAAAGCCUAUGAAAAGGACAAAAGGGGAGCUGGAGAGAAGGUAGUUAAGGUCACUGACUGCUCUUGCAGGGGACUGGGUUUUGAUUCCCAGACUUCAUAUACAAACUAGAGUUUGAGAGGAUCUCUAGCCCAGUGGUGGAGGCGCACACCUUUAAUCCCAGCAGUACACCCCUAUUCCCGAGGCAGAUCUCUGUAAGUUCAAAGCCAGCCUGGUCUACAGAGAUAGUUCCAGGACAGCCUCCAAAGCCACAGAGAAAUCCUGUCUCAAAUAAAUAAUAAGUAUGCUGGAUCUGUAUAUGCUAUGGUUUAAUCUACAGUACACUUUAAAUACUUUUCUACUUUCAACUUUCAGGCAGAAGU
This 984-nucleotide long non-coding RNA is filed under the name Cricetulus griseus (Chinese hamster). RNAcentral's name for it is "lncRNA (ENSCGRG00015037534.1)". The record is from RNAcentral. Lineage: Eukaryota; Metazoa; Chordata; Mammalia; Rodentia; Cricetidae.